CCCUUUGACAUCCUCAGGGCGCGCGGACUGUUAAUCCGUAUGUCACUGGUUCGAGUCCAGUCAGAGGAGCCA
RNAcentral lists this transfer RNA (72 nucleotides) under Enterobacter hormaechei. Its description in RNAcentral is "tRNA-OTHER". The stretch from base 11 to 69 matches the Rfam family "tRNA". Rfam says of the family: Transfer RNA (tRNA) molecules are approximately 80 nucleotides in length. Lineage: Bacteria; Pseudomonadati; Pseudomonadota; Gammaproteobacteria; Enterobacterales; Enterobacteriaceae. The record is from RNAcentral.